This is a non-coding RNA of Ictidomys tridecemlineatus (thirteen-lined ground squirrel), 4024 nucleotides long. NCBI's taxonomy places the organism in Eukaryota, Metazoa, Chordata, Mammalia, Rodentia, Sciuridae. The record is from RefSeq and is a predicted model, not a curated record.
CCAGGCCCCGCCUCCUGUCAGCGCUGACGCCAAUCAGCUCCCGGCAGCGUUUGGAGAGGCUGGGACCUCGGGGGAGGGGACGCGACCAGAGGCCGAGGGCGGGAGUUAGUGACACUCACUGGAGUCGCAGGCCGCCGGGGCAGCAACUGGGAAUUAGAGACUAUCCGAACAGGGUAGAGGAGAAGGAGCGACAGAGAAGGUCAGGCAGAUCUGCAGGUGACAUUCUUUUCCAACUCCACUAGUAUGGAAGGGGACACUGGGCAGUCCUUCCGAGGAAAGAGACUCCGUACUCUCCAGAUCCCACCUUCCCUCCCUUGCGAGACAUCUGUGGCCCCGCAUAGUUAGUUUUGAAUUUAAGGCAGUGCUUUGCAGAGUUCUUUUUCGAUAAACGCAUUUUUUUUUGACAGGGAUUUCCAUGGCAGGACGCUUCAGUUUAAGUGGUAGAAGAAUGCAAAAUCAUUUCCCCCCCCCCUCACUUUUAGCAUAACUAUGAUCAAUUCCAUGCAGGUAGUCAUCAGUUUUCUUUAAAACACUCUUCAGCUGCUCCUUGCUUCCCUUUUUCUUAAAAAGAUUUGAAGGAAGGAAAGAAAGAAUUUUUGAGAGAGAGAGAGUGUGUGUGUGUGCUUUUGACAAGGAAAUUGUUUUUUAUUAGCAUUUGAAGAAUCCCAUGGUAGUGGGCUGCUGGACUCCAGGAUAAAGGCCUACAUUGGCAGUGUGAUCCCCUUAGUGAUGGAGCCACCUAACAAAGGUUUGUUGUACUCAAAGUGCACCAGGCACAGGAAUAAAAGCAUUUUCUAAAAGAAUUCAUCUUGGGGACCCACUCGUCUCCGUUAUGUAAUCAAAGGCCAAACAAAAACAUAAGGCUUUGAAAAUGAUUGGAAGCCGGGUACCACGUUGUAACCUGCCUUUUGACGUGGUUUACAUGUUCAGGAACCAAAAGUUGCUUUGGGCACCAGUGAGAAUUACAGGUCCUCUGUCCAAUAGACUACAAGGAACUGGAUUGUUGAUGGAGCCUGCCCUGUUGAUCCUUUAGAUGAUCGUGGCCUGGCCAUUGUCUUGGCAGCAGCCUUCUAAAAAUUUUCCCGGUUGCCAUAUCCUAAGCUGAUUUCCUCUGCCAUGCCCUUCCACCAUGAUGUUCUGCAUCAUCUGGGACCCAGAGCAAUCGAGUCAGCCGAUCGUGAACUGAACCUCUGAAACUGUGAAACUCAAAUCAGUUUUUCGCCUCUAAAUUUUUCUUGUCAUGUUUUUUGUUCACAGUGAUGAAAAAGCUAACUAAAACAAUUAAUGAUACAGGGAUGAUGUUGUUAUUUGCCAUUGUUUUCUUUCAAUUCUAAUCAAACAGAAGUAAUAUAUCCUUUAUUUAUAAAUAAUAUUGUUUAAUGCUGGUUUUCAAUAAACUAAAUUUUAAUUUUUUUAAUUUAAAUGUGAGGAUUAUCCCUUGGAAAAGAGAGAGUACAAUGUUAAAAUAAUUUUAUUUUCUUUUAUUUAGGUGUCAGUUUCUCCAAUUUCAAGAAAUAUUUUCUCACACCAGUUUAUAGGGUGAGGUGACAAGUGAAUAAACUUUCAUAGAUAAACCAUAAUGUAAAAUUCAUUUAUGUAUUUAUUUUAAAGACCAUAAUAUACAUAGAAACUUUAUUGCUAUUCACAAUUGAAGGAAUACUUAUAUGUAAAUAACAUGGAAGGAGGGUUGGGCAAGGUAAAAGUUGAUAUAUGUAGAUAAGAAUUUGGUAUUGGGUUUUUAUGAAAAGAAGAGCAAAAGAAAAGUAAUUAUCUGUGAAUAAGAUACAACUUUUAAAAAACCCACUCUCAUGAUUUUAGGUUUUUAUUUUCCCUUGGUGCCUAUCUAUUUUGCUAUUUGAAGUCAGUAAUGAAGGUUUAAAAUCAUAUAUUUUUUUCAUACUCUAAAAGAAUACUAUUAUUUUUCCUUUAACUCAAAAUAACUGACUCUAAAUUCUUAUUCAACAAGACCUGUUUCAUUAAUCUUUACAUUUCAGUUGAGAACAACAUCCAAUUUAUCUAUAUUAGGGUUUUUACUGCUUAAAAAUGAUUAAAUGAAAAGAGUUACUACUCCAAAAUCUAGUUUAGUUACAAUUAUUAUUUUUACUUGCUUAUAUUAAAUUUAAAGGAAACCCCAAUUUUAUCUAGCAGACCUAUACUCUAAUCUUGGUUGAACAGGUAAAAAUAUUGAAAUGAAACUUACUUUCUUGUAUUUCAUUUCCUUUUGUUUAGUUGUAAAGCACACUUCAUUCUGCAUUUUUGAGCUACAGUCAUUGAGUCAACUAUCCCCAAAGUCUUCCUAAUAUUCUCUUUCUCCAUUAACACUAAAAUAUGAUUUUUUUUCAAGGAGAGGACCAUGUCUAUAUCAUUUUGGUUUGCCUAUUUGUGAGGAAGCAAGUAAGUUUCAUCUCUGUGUCAACUGAAAAUACAUUGCUAGUGACUGUGUGGCAUAAUGUAUUGAGAAACAAUCUGAGGUUGUGUUUGACAUCAGUGGGAAAGAUUGUUUUACUUGAUUAGCAAUACCUGUCAUGGGCAUGGGAGUAAAGAAUAGCUCUAUAUCUCUCUGCUGUCCCUGCCUUUGUGUUUGAGGAGGUACCUAUAACAGUUUGGCAUACAAUAAAUGUUUGCAAAAUAGAUGAGCAAACUUCAAUUAUAAUUGGACAAUCCUCCUGUGCAGUGAGAAUACUCUGAGGUUCCUUUUCAACCUAUCCUUCCACCUUUUCAUGCCACUCAGUAUAGAAACUACUUUUUGGAUUGGUCAGAUAAAAUAGUUUGUGAGGCUCAUUCAAAUGAACUUUCAAAGUUGUCAAUCUAUACUAUACAGUCCUCAUACAAAUAACUUAUUUAUCCUUCAAUUCUAUUUUGAUAUAUAUAUAUAUCAAAUAGUUUGUGACCACUCCUUUGAAUAUGCCCUUUAUGUUUCAUCUUAAAUUGUAUAAUCUCUUAUAAUUAAAGUAGUUGUUAUUCACUUCUUUUUUUUACAGUACCAAAUAGAGCAUUUAGAAAAACAACAAAUAGUUUGUUGAAAAUAACAACAAAAUUCUUGAUAUAAAUGCCUGAUAAUAAUUUAAGAAUACUGUUCUUUUUGCAAAUUAAUAGCACUUGAAUAUUUAGUUCAACAUAUGAAGAGGGCUGUGUUCUUUCUUUACUUUCUAAGGCUUGUGCAAAAUGAAAAUCAUACAAUCUACAUUAUAAAUUGUAUUAAGAUGAGACACAUAUAUGGCUUAGCAUAAACUCAGUGCCUAGACAAUAAUGGAUACUCAAUAAACGCUAUGUGCUCUUAGGAUUUGUGCUAACCCUUGUCUGUAUCUCAAAUAUGUUUUUCCCCUCACUGCUCUGCCUGUGAAAAUGUCACUUAUUGCUCUAUUAAAUCUUGAGUAUUUUUUUUGUAGUAAGGGCAGGGUUAACAUGAGUAUUUGAAAGGUGCCAAUAAAUCUACACCAACUUUUCCCAACCAAGUGUUUUACAGGGGCUGAGGACAAGUAGCAAAAGUGAUUGAUUGGAAUUUCACAUGUUUUCUUCUGACCAAAGCCUUUAUGUAUCCAGGUAUGUGAACAUGGUAUAGUUUUCAAGCAGGGGCGGAGGGAAGCCUUUAAGGUAUGAUUACCAGGAAAAUUAAAAAAAAAAUCCCCAAAUCCAACAUGGUCCUCCAAUUAAUUGAGCAUUUACCUUUAAAUGCAUAUAAGCAUGUGCGAUUAAUCGGUUUUGUUUUCUCAUUUAAAAUUGCAGUUUAUAAGCUGCUUGAAGGAAAAUAAAUUAUUUAUAACUCCAUAGUGCUUACUCUGAUGGUAUCUACACAAUGAAAUUUAGUCAAUAUUUUGUAAAGGAAUAUUGCAAAUCAUUCACCAAAUUUUGCAUUUCUUUUUCAUUAUAUUGGUUUGUUACUGGGAUACGUCUGCAUGCUGAGGACUAAAUUUCUCAUAUUCUUUUGCAACUAGGUGGGGCCAUGUGACUGUUUCACUACAGAAUGUUGGCAGAAAUGAUUCUACAACCUCAGGGUCAGGAUACUACAGGAAGAGAGUUGUGU